Molecule: unclassified non-coding RNA, 313 nt
Filed under: Spizellomyces dolichospermus
Lineage: Eukaryota; Fungi; Chytridiomycota; Chytridiomycetes; Spizellomycetales; Spizellomycetaceae
Description: partial internal transcribed spacer region
Rfam family: Eukaryotic small subunit ribosomal RNA (bases 1-46)
Source: RNAcentral
AAGUCGUAACAAGGUAACCGUAGGUGAACCUGCGGUUGGAUCAUUAAAAAAAAAAAUAGCCUGUCAUUUAGUACCGCUUUGUCAAGGGCUGGGGAAAAAUGAAUGUUGGCACCACAUAUUGUGAACCGUAAAUGUCUUUGGUGGUUGGGCGGUUUGCUUGUUUCAAGCUUCCGUCUGUCAGCUUGUGUUUAACAACCCAAGCCGUGGACAAGCCACCGUUUGUUUGUUUAAGCCUAAUUGCCUUCUACUUUUUUGUCUAACAUUUUUUUGUAUAAAUUACAAACAACUUUUGGCAACGGAUCUCUUGGUUCUC